This 75-nucleotide transfer RNA is filed under the name Cyanobacteria bacterium UBA12227. RNAcentral describes it as "tRNA-Gly". It matches the Rfam family "tRNA". Rfam says of the family: Transfer RNA (tRNA) molecules are approximately 80 nucleotides in length. Their secondary structure includes four short double-helical elements and three loops (D, anti-codon, and T loops). RNAcentral also lists the same sequence under 1 other name. Lineage: Bacteria; Bacillati; Cyanobacteriota. The record is from RNAcentral.
GCGGGUGUGAUGUAGUGGCUAGCAUCUGAGUCUGCCAGUCUCAGCGCAUGGGUUCGAGUCCCAUCAUCCGCUCUA